This 97-nucleotide signal recognition particle RNA is filed under the name Paracoccaceae bacterium. RNAcentral describes it as "signal recognition particle sRNA small type". It matches the Rfam family "Bacterial small signal recognition particle RNA". From Rfam's summary of the family: The signal recognition particle (SRP) is a universally conserved ribonucleoprotein involved in the co-translational targeting of proteins to membranes. Lineage: Bacteria; Pseudomonadati; Pseudomonadota; Alphaproteobacteria; Rhodobacterales; Paracoccaceae. The record is from RNAcentral. RNAcentral also lists the same sequence under 1 other name.
UGAGAGAUUGUUUUGGACAAGUACGUCGCCAACCCGGUCAGGUCUGAAAGGAAGCAGCCGUAACGAAAUUACUUGGGUCAAUAUCAAUCUCUCGCUU